AUUGAACGCGGCGGCAUGCUUUACACAUGCAAGUCGGACGGCAGCACAGAGAAGCUUGCUUCUUGGGUGGCGAGUGGCGAACGGGUGAGUAACAUAUCGGAACGUACCGAGUAAUGGGGGAUAACUAAUCGAAAGAUUAGCUAAUACCGCAUAUUCUCUGAGGAGGAAAGCAGGGGACCUUCGGGCCUUGCGUUAUUCGAGCGGCCGAUAUCUGAUUAGCUAGUUGGUGGGGUAAAGGCCUACCAAGGCGACGAUCAGUAGCGGGUCUGAGAGGAUGAUCCGCCACACUGGGACUGAGACACGGCCCAGACUCCUACGGGAGGCAGCAGUGGGGAAUUUUGGACAAUGGGCGCAAGCCUGAUCCAGCCAUGCCGCGUGUCUGAAGAAGGCCUUCGGGUUGUAAAGGACUUUUGUCAGGGAAGAAAAGGCUGUUGCUAAUAUCGACAGCUGAUGACGGUACCUGAAGAAUAAGCACCGGCUAACUACGUGCCAGCAGCCGCGGUAAUACGUAGGGUGCGAGCGUUAAUCGGAAUUACUGGGCGUAAAGCGAGCGCAGACGGUUACUUAAGCAGGAUGUGAAAUCCCCGGGCUCAACCUGGGAACUGCGUUCUGAACUGGGUGACUAGAGUGUGUCAGAGGGAGGUAGAAUUCCACGUGUAGCAGUGAAAUGCGUAGAGAUGUGGAGGAAUACCGAUGGCGAAGGCAGCCUCCUGGGAUAACACUGACGUUCAUGCUCGAAAGCGUGGGUAGCAAACAGG
Molecule: ribosomal RNA, 758 nt
Filed under: Neisseria cinerea
Lineage: Bacteria; Pseudomonadati; Pseudomonadota; Betaproteobacteria; Neisseriales; Neisseriaceae
Description: bacterial SSU rRNA
Rfam family: Bacterial small subunit ribosomal RNA
Source: RNAcentral